GGUAGACUAAAGUUGAAACCCAACAGAAGCCCCAAAUCAAGGUUCAGGCCUUCCAUGCGUUCAUACUCCAAGCUAGAUCUUUGGAUAUAUUCCACCUUUCAAGUCUCCUUUUAGGUUUUGUAGUCAAAGAAAUAUUCCAAACAAUUUAAAAUUUUAGUAACACAAGAUAAACCAAGGACAUGAUAGACAACAUUUUAGGUUUUGCUAGUCAAAGGAAUUGACUACAAUGCACUUAAAUACAUAAAUGUCAGAAGGUACUUCAUCAGGAAUAGUACUUGCCUUGAGGUUCCAUGCCAUUUGUUCAUUGUUUGUAU
RNAcentral lists this long non-coding RNA (314 nucleotides) under Zea mays. RNAcentral's name for it is "long non-coding RNA (ZMAY_LNC005866)". Lineage: Eukaryota; Viridiplantae; Streptophyta; Magnoliopsida; Poales; Poaceae. The record is from RNAcentral.